AGUCAACAUGCCCAGGGGACGUGGAUAACCUCGGGAAACUGAGGAUAAACCGCGAUAGGUCAUCACUUCUGGAAUGGGUAAUGACUUAAAUCUACAUGGCCCCUGGAUUGGACUGCGGCCGAUCAGGCUGUUGGUGAGGUAAUGGCCCACCAAACCUGUAACCGGUACGGGCUCUGAGAGGAGGAGCCCGGAGAUGUGCACUGAGACAAGGGCCCAGGCCCUAUGGGGCGCAGCAGGCGCGAAACCUCUGCAAUAGGCGAAAGCUUGACAGGGUUACUCUGAGUGAUUUCCGUUAAGGAGAUCUUUUGGCACCUCUAAAAAUGGCGCAGAAUAAGGGGUGGGCAAGUCUGGUGUCAGCCGCCGCGGUAAUACCAGCACCCCGAGUGGUCGGGACGUUUAUUGGGCCUAAAGCAUCCGUAGCCGGUUCUACAAGUCUUCCGUUAAAUCCACCUGCUUAACAGAUGGGCUGCGGAAGAUACUAUAGAGCUAGGAGGCGGGAGAGGCAAGCGGUACUCGAUGGGUAGGGGUAAAAUCCGUUGAUCCAUUGAAGACCACCAGUGGCGAAGGCGGCUUGCCAGAACGCGCUCGACGGUGAGGGAUGAAAGCUGGGGGAGCAAACCGGAUUAGAUACCCGGGUAGUCCCAGCUGUAAACGAUGCAGACUCGGUGAUGAGUUGGCUUAUUGCUAACUCAGUGCCGCAGGGAAGCCGUUAAGUUUGCCGCCUGGGGAGUACGGUCGCAAGACUGAAACUUAA
This 754-nucleotide ribosomal RNA is filed under the name uncultured archaeon. RNAcentral's name for it is "bacterial SSU rRNA". It matches the Rfam family "Archaeal small subunit ribosomal RNA", at positions 102 to 859 of the family's 1478-position model. The record is from RNAcentral.